RNAcentral lists this ribosomal RNA (253 nucleotides) under uncultured bacterium. RNAcentral describes it as "partial 16S ribosomal RNA". It matches the Rfam family "Bacterial small subunit ribosomal RNA", at positions 524 to 776 of the family's 1533-position model. The record is from RNAcentral.
UACGGAGGGGGCGAGCGUUAUUCGGAAUUAUUGGGCGUAAAGGGCGCGUAGGCGGCUGUACAAGUCAAAGGUGAAAUCCCUCGGCUCAACUGAGGAACUGCCUUUGAAACUGUACGGCUUGAGGCCGGGAGGGGGUAGCGGAAUUCCCAAUGUAGCGGUGAAAUGCGUAGAUAUUGGGAGGAACACCAGUGGCGAAGGCGGCUACCUGGACCGGUUCUGACGCUGAUGCGCGAAAGCGUGGGGAGCAAACAGG